GAUGAACGCUGGCGGCGUGCCUAAUACAUGCAAGUCGAGCGAACAGACGAGGAGCUUGCUCCUCUUACGUUAGCGGCGGACGGGUGAGUAACACGUGGAUAACCUACCUAUAAGACUGGGAUAACUUCGGGAAACCGGAGCUAAUACCGGAUAAUAUAUUGAACCGCAUGGUUCAAUAGUGAAAGACGGUUUUGCUGUCACUUAUAGAUGGAUCCGCGCCGCAUUAGCUAGUUGGUAAGGUAACGGCUUACCAAGGCAACGAUGCGUAGCCGACCUGAGAGGGUGAUCGGCCACCCUGGAACUGAGACACGGUCCAGACUACUACGGGAGGCAGCAGUAGGGAAUCUUCCGCAAUGGGCGAAAGCCUGACGGAGCAACGCCGCGUGAGUGAUGAAGGUCUUCGGAUCGUAAAACUCUGUUAUUAGGGAAGAACAAAUGUGUAAGUAACUAUGCACGUCUUGACGGUACCUAAUCAGAAAGCCACGGCUAACUACGUG
Molecule: ribosomal RNA, 497 nt
Filed under: uncultured bacterium
Lineage: Bacteria
Description: partial 16S ribosomal RNA
Rfam family: Bacterial small subunit ribosomal RNA
Source: RNAcentral